Molecule: ribosomal RNA, 282 nt
Filed under: uncultured bacterium
Lineage: Bacteria
Description: partial 16S ribosomal RNA
Rfam family: Bacterial small subunit ribosomal RNA
Source: RNAcentral
GUGGAUUAGAUACCCUAGUAGUCCACACAGUAAACGAUGAAUACUCGCUGUUUGCGAUAUACUGCAAGCGGCCAAGCGAAAGCAUUAAGUAUUCCACCUGGGGAGUACGCCGGCAACGGUGAAACUCAAAGGAAUUGACGGGGGCCCGCACAAGCGGAGGAACAUGUGGUUUAAUUCGAUGAUACGCGAGGAACCUUACCCGGGCUUAAAUUGCAUAUGAAUAUGUAGGAAACUAUAUAGCCGCAAGGCAUAUGUGAAGGUGCUGCAUGGUCGUCGUCAACU